AACCUUUAGCCAAACAAAUAUUAAAGGCAACGCCUGCCCAGUGAAUAAUUAAACGGCCGCGGUAUCCUAACCGUGCAAAGGUAGCGUAAUCAUUUGUCUACUAAUUAUAGACCUGUAUGAAAGGCAACAUGAGGGUCCAACUGUCUCUUAUAAUAAAUCAAUUAAACUGAUCUCCUAGUUAAAAAAGCUAGAAUUACAACAUAAGACCAGAAGACCCUGUGAAGCUUAAAUUAAACUAUUAAAUCAUAUAAUAGCUAUUUUCGGUUGGGGCGACCUUGGAAAAAAAAAGAACUUCCAAACAUCAUGACCAUACCUCAUACCAUUAAAUCAGGCCAACAAGCCUAAAAUUGACCCAGCACAGCUGACAAUUGAACCAAGUUACUCCAGGGAUAACAGCGCAAUCUUCUUCAAGAGCCCAUAUCAAAAAGAAGGUUUACGACCUCGAUGUUGGAUCAGGACAUCCUAAUGGUGCAGCCGCUAUUAAAGGUUCGUUUGUUCAACGAUUAACAGUCCU
Molecule: ribosomal RNA, 514 nt
Filed under: Coronella girondica
Lineage: Eukaryota; Metazoa; Chordata; Lepidosauria; Squamata; Colubridae
Description: partial 16S ribosomal RNA
Rfam family: Bacterial large subunit ribosomal RNA
Source: RNAcentral